GGCGGCGCCUGGACCCUGAGGAGACGUCGUCGCCUCAGGCUUCGCGCGGGGAGCGCGGCACGCCGGGUGUGUUUCAAGCUGCGCCUCAGGCCGGGUGCGCGGCGGGCAGCGCCGGGACCGCCGCGGACAGGGACCGGUAAGGUCGGGGCGUGGCGCGGCCCAAGCGUUCCCUGAGGGGAGUCAAGGGGAGAUGAAAAGGGUUCUGCGGCUGCGGUUUCGCGGGUCACGACACCGCACCUGGCCUAGCAGCCGGUCUCUGUGUCGCUGCAGGAUGUGAUCUUCUGCCUGGAAUAUCUCCAGUUCUUAGAAGUUUCAGUGAACACCUGAGGAGAGACCCAGGAAAACUGACUAACUUGCCUGAAGUUACUGAAGACACCACCUUAAAUACCAUCUUCAGCUGAAGAUAAAAGAAGACCUUGAGAGUGGGGACAAUAAACAAGUGUGGGGAUUCUACGGACAAUUAUGGAAAUAUGUCCAUUGGGUGAUUCUAUGGACCCAAUACAUCUGCUGUAAGCUGUGCCUCUCCUAGACUAGACAUCCAAUGUCCUACUGUGUUUGGGGACUUGAUCAUGCUUUUGGUUCCUGAGUAUUAAUGUGACUUGGAUCACGUGCUCAACAACAUUCAAAAUAUCUAUAUAUGUCCUUUGCCCUGGGUAAUCAAGGAUCUUAUUAUUUCUGUUGCUAUCAGAGAAAACAUUUCAGCAAUGGAAUAUCCUACUGUGAGCUCUACUCAACCAAGAAAUACAUAACUAGCCAUGAGAUUGAUGGGGACAGAGGAACUGACAAUGAUGUUUAAACAGAAGUAUGAGAGCACAAUAACCUGGAAACUAAAACCAUCAGGGAACAGGACUCAAACAGGAAUGGAAUCAAUUCAGACCGUUCCCUUCACCUUCUCUUUGUGGAUGGUGAACAUUUAGGCUGUGCUGAGAGCUCAGGUGUCCGGUUAUAUGAUGCCAAUAUCACAGGAUCAUAUUUGUACACAUCCUUGAUCAACCAAAGGUUUAUGUCCUGGGUCUCCAUCUGGGUCUCUCACUGUGCCGAGCACCACUGUACAACAGACAGCAAUGGUAAGUACUCAGCUUCUUCCUCUCGCUGGGCCCCCGAGAAUGUCAGGGCAGCUUUGCCCCCAGUGAUGGAGUCUGAGAACUGGGCAGUGGUCCAGGAGUGUUUAUUGUUUUUAUCAUAAAUCAGUAUCCUGGGGACUUGGCCACACUUCUGCUGUAACAAAUGUGUAUACUGACCAUUGGUGACUGCCCCAGUGCUGCAGCCACAGGUGAGAAUGAUUGUGUCUCCUGGGGACACAGUCAGUGAGGGCUCCUGAGUCACCACAGCCUGAGAAUUGGACCCUGAAAUGAAAACAGAUACAUGUCAGGAGUGAAGAAUAAAGGCAGACGGAUCCCUCCAGAGGCUGGUCUCUGAAAUGUCCAUGAACCUGGGCAGUGAGUGAGGAGGGGGAGGAGGAGGAGAGGAGUCCAGGUCAUGGUGAAGACUUUUCAGGGUCCCCUGACUCAUGCUGGUGCUGGUCUCUGGGGUGUCCUUUUAUCUCCCCUUCAACUCCCUGUGUAAAGGGUGUGCUUGGAGGGACAUUUUGCAAAUAUGAGCCCACAGUACCAUCCAAUUCUGUGUCCUCAGCCCAGUUUGUUGCUUCAAUCUCAGGAGGAGGCUGUAGUGGUUGUGAAUUCCUGUGAGCUCUGAGUCUGUCCCUUGAGAGGAAGCACCUGCUGUGACCUCUAACUCAGGUCAUGAGCAUGGGCACAGGGCCCAUUCAAU
Molecule: long non-coding RNA, 1770 nt
Organism: Hipposideros armiger (great roundleaf bat)
Lineage: Eukaryota; Metazoa; Chordata; Mammalia; Chiroptera; Hipposideridae
Exons: 6
Source: RefSeq, a predicted model, not a curated record